CACGGGGGGAGCAAGCGUUGUUCGGAAUCACUGGGCGUAAAGGGCGUGUAGGCGGUCAGGUAAGUGGGACGUGAAAUCCCUCGGCUCACCCGAGGACCUGCGUCCCAUACUGCUUGGCUUGAGUAUGGGAGAGGAUGAGGGAAUUCCUGGUGUAGCGGUGAAAUGCGUAGAUAUCUGGAGGAACACCGGUGGCGAAGGCAGCAUCCUGGACCGGCAUUGACGCUGAGACGCGAAAGCCAGGGGAGCAAACGGG
This 253-nucleotide ribosomal RNA is filed under the name uncultured bacterium. RNAcentral describes it as "partial 16S ribosomal RNA". It matches the Rfam family "Bacterial small subunit ribosomal RNA", at positions 524 to 776 of the family's 1533-position model. The record is from RNAcentral.